AGAAUCUGUGGCUGUGUUUCCUGGGAAGCGGUUGUCACCUCCUUGUCCCCCUUCCAUUGAGUUAUCGGGGCAACAGCAAGAAGCUCUUAUGUGGUAGGUGUCCCUUAAAGGGUCUAACACAGAACAAAUGGCCAUGCUAAAUCAUACUAAAUAAUUCAGUGCAGCACUUCCAGACGUCUGCAAGAUUCUUCUUGGCACAGAUUCUUUUCUAUGCUGAGCGUGUGCCUGUGGUUAUCUCCAUGUUUUUAUAAGACUCAGCUCCACUGACAGCAGUUAACUUGGACCCAACCAGAUCAACUAAGGUCCUUCUCUAGCAUUGGAUUUGGCCCAGAGAGCCUCUUGGCAUCUCAGUGGUUGAAACUGUAUGAUAGGUAAUUUAAGAACUAUCAGUAGCCAUAUUUGCCUGCUUCUGAAGAGUGCUGGUUUACAGUGAGAAGGAAUAAGGCCUACCUAUGGAGAGAAACAGAGACAG
This 472-nucleotide long non-coding RNA is filed under the name Felis catus (domestic cat). RNAcentral describes it as "lncRNA (ENSFCAG00000048786.1)". The record is from RNAcentral. Lineage: Eukaryota; Metazoa; Chordata; Mammalia; Carnivora; Felidae.